GCCAGGCAUGGUGGUGCAGGUCUGUAAUCCCAGCAGCUCAGGAGGCUGAGGCAGGAGGAUCGCCAGUUCAAAGCCAACCUCAGCAAAAGCAAGGUGCUAAGCAAUCCAGUGAGACCCUGUCUCUA
This 125-nucleotide small RNA is filed under the name Marmota monax (woodchuck). Lineage: Eukaryota; Metazoa; Chordata; Mammalia; Rodentia; Sciuridae. The record is from RNAcentral.